AUGAGAGGGAGCAGUCUAGUGCAUGCGACGAUGAUAUUCUUCAUUGGAUUCUUUGUGGUGUGUGCACAGUGUGUUCUCGAUAAUAAGCAAACGGUGGUCAACCAAGAUGGUCAUGCGGCAAAAACAAGUACCAACGCUACCAUCGUCAACUCGACGUCUGCAGGCGAGAGCAAGAUCACCUUGAUAUUUUGCAGCCGCUUUUUCUUAUGUCAUUUCAAAGAUGGGCACAGUGGUACGUGCUACUGCUGCCACAAUAAGCACGGCCCGUGUUACAGGACGCGGAGUGAGUGCCAGGAUAAGUGCCCUACCUGCAACCCUAAAUGCCCACCUUCGUCGGGGUCUCGGGGAUAG
Molecule: ribosomal RNA, 351 nt
Filed under: Triticum aestivum (bread wheat)
Lineage: Eukaryota; Viridiplantae; Streptophyta; Magnoliopsida; Poales; Poaceae
Description: partial small subunit ribosomal RNA
Source: RNAcentral